AAAGAAUGUAUGCACCAUGCAGCCAGCCCUGUCCUGGUUUGUGACAGUGCCAAAGAAGCCAUGUGAGUCAAAUGUGGGGAUCAUGUGGAUGAAGCAGGAGUGGUUGAUGGCCAGACCUAGAUGGUCCUCGCCCCAGGGAAGCUAUGCACAGGUGGGCAAUGGUUGUGGAUACCUCUUCAUCUCAUGUAUCUGGUUUUU
This 198-nucleotide long non-coding RNA is filed under the name Chinchilla lanigera (long-tailed chinchilla). RNAcentral describes it as "lncRNA (ENSCLAG00000027085.1)". Lineage: Eukaryota; Metazoa; Chordata; Mammalia; Rodentia; Chinchillidae. The record is from RNAcentral.